GAUGAACGCUGGCGGCGUGCCUAAUACAUGCAAGUCGAGCGAACAGACGAGCAGCUUGCUCCUCUGACGUUAGCGGCGGACGGGUGAGUCACCCGUGCAUAACCUACCUAUAAGACUGGGCUAACUUCGGGAAACCGGAGCUAAUACCGGAUAAUAUAUUGAACCGCAUGGUUCAAUAGUGAAAGACGGUUUUGCUGUCCCUUAUACAUGGAUCCGCGCCGCAUUAGCUAGUUGGUAAGGUAACGGCUUACCAAGGCAACGAUGCGUAGCCGACCUGAGAGGGUGAUCGGCCACACUGGAACUGAGACACGGUCCAGACUCCUACGGGAGGCAGCAGUAGGGAAUCUUCCGCAAUGGGCGAAAGCCUGACGGAGCAACGCCGCGUGAGUGAUGAAGGUCUUCGGAUCGUAAAACUCUGUUAUUAGGGAAGAAAAAAUGUGUAAGUAACUAUGCACGUCUUGACGGUACCUAAUCAGAAAGCAACGGCUAACUACGUG
This 497-nucleotide ribosomal RNA is filed under the name uncultured bacterium. RNAcentral's name for it is "partial 16S ribosomal RNA". It matches the Rfam family "Bacterial small subunit ribosomal RNA", at positions 28 to 507 of the family's 1533-position model. The record is from RNAcentral.